RNAcentral lists this ribosomal RNA (553 nucleotides) under uncultured bacterium. RNAcentral's name for it is "partial 16S ribosomal RNA". It matches the Rfam family "Bacterial small subunit ribosomal RNA", at positions 355 to 898 of the family's 1533-position model. The record is from RNAcentral.
UAGGGAAUCUUCCACAAUGGACGAAAGUCUGAUGGAGCAACGCCGCGUGAGUGAUGAAGGGUUUCGGCUCGUAAAACUCUGUUGUUGGAGAAGAACGGGUGUCAGAGUAACUGUUGACAUCGUGACGGUAUCCAACCAGAAAGCCACGGCUAACUACGUGCCAGCAGCCGCGGUAAUACGUAGGUGGCAAGCGUUGUCCGGAUUUAUUGGGCGUAAAGCGAGCGCGGGCGGUUUUUUAGGUCUGAUGUGAAAGCCUUCGGCUUAACCGGAGAAGUGCAUCGGAAACCGGGAGACUUGAGUGCAGAAGAGGACAGUGGAACUCCAUGUGUAGCGGUGAAAUGCGUAGAUAUAUGGAAGAACACCAGUGGCGAAGGCGGCUGUCUGGUCUGCAACUGACGCUGAGGCUCGAAAGCAUGGGUAGCGAACAGGAUUAGAUACCCUGGUAGUCCAUGCCGUAAACGAUGAGUGCUAAGUGUUGGAGGGUUUCCGCCCUUCAGUGCUGCAGCUAACGCAUUAAGCACUCCGCCUGGGGGAGUACGACCGCAAGGUUGAA